This 497-nucleotide ribosomal RNA is filed under the name uncultured bacterium. RNAcentral describes it as "partial 16S ribosomal RNA". It matches the Rfam family "Bacterial small subunit ribosomal RNA", at positions 28 to 507 of the family's 1533-position model. The record is from RNAcentral.
GACGAACGCUGGCGGCGUGCCUAAUACAUGCAAGUUGAGCGAUGAAGAUUGGUGAUUGCACCAAUUUGAAGAGCAGCGAACGGGUGAGUAACGCGUGGGGAAUCUGCCUUUGAGCGGGGGACAACAUUUGGAAACGAAUGCUAAUACCGCAUAACAACUUUAAACAUAAGUUUUAAGUUUGAAAGAUGCAAUUGCAUCACUCAAAGAUGAUCCCGCGUUGUAUUAGCUAGUUGGUGAGGUAAAGGCUCACCAAGGCGAUGAUACAUAGCCGACCUGAGAGGGUGAUCGGCCACAUUGGGACUGAGACACGGCCCAAACUCCUACGGGAGGCAGCAGUAGGGAAUCUUCGGCAAUGGACGAAAGUCUGACCGAGCAACGCCGCGUGAGUGAAGAAGGUUUUCGGAUCGUAAAACUCUGUUGGUAGAGAAGAACGUUGGUGAGAGUGGAAAGCUCAUCAAGUGACGGUAACUACCCAGAAAGGGACGGCUAACUACGUG